GGAAAACAACAAGUGCAGACUUGGAGCGAGGGAGAAUAGAACCCGGAAGUUAAGCGUGCUUGGGCUGGAGUAGUGAGAGGGAUGGGUGACCGAUCGGGAAGUUAGAUGAUUUGGAAUGAUGAGGGGUGAUUAAAGGAUAAAUUGAGAAGUGAUGAGGGGUGGUGAUUACAGACUAGAGGUUAAAAUAAUUCAGAAAUUUGAAAAUAAAAAAAUCCAAAAAAAAAUUCAAAAAAAAAUCAUAAAAUUUCCUUUAGUCCCGGUUAGUGUUACCAACCAGGACUAAAGGUGGAGCUCCACGUGGCUGCGCCCUUUAGUCCUGGUUUUGGAUUGAACCGGAACUAAAGGAGGGAGGUAUUAGUACCGACACUUUAGUCCCGGUUCAAGAAUUCAAAAAUUGAGAAGUGAUGAGGGGUGGUGAUUACAGACUAGAGGUUAAAAUAAUUCAGAAAUUUGAAAAUAAAAAAAUCCAAAAAAAAAUUCAAAAAAAAAUCAUAAAAUUUCCUUUAGUCCCGGUUAGUGUUACCAACCAGGACUAAAGGUGGAGCUCCACGUGGCUGCGCCCUUUAGUCCUGGUUUUGGAUUGAACCGGAACUAAAGGAGGGAGGUAUUAGUACCGACACUUUAGUCCCGGUUCAAGAAUUCAAAAAUUGAGAAGUGAUGAGGGGUGGUGAUUACAGACUAGAGGUUAAAAUAAUUCAGAAAUUUGAAAAUAAAAAAAUCCAAAAAAAAAUUCAAAAAAAAA
RNAcentral lists this long non-coding RNA (742 nucleotides) under Triticum aestivum (bread wheat). Its description in RNAcentral is "long non-coding RNA (TAES_LNC021616)". The record is from RNAcentral. Lineage: Eukaryota; Viridiplantae; Streptophyta; Magnoliopsida; Poales; Poaceae.